This 207-nucleotide ribosomal RNA is filed under the name Chaetoceros curvisetus. RNAcentral describes it as "partial Eukaryotic small subunit ribosomal RNA". It matches the Rfam family "Eukaryotic small subunit ribosomal RNA", at positions 905 to 1111 of the family's 1831-position model. Lineage: Eukaryota; Bacillariophyta; Thalassiosirophyceae; Chaetocerotales; Chaetocerotaceae. The record is from RNAcentral.
UCAGAGGUGAAAUUCUUGGAUUGAUUGAAGACUAACUACUGCGAAAGCAUUUGCCAAGGAUGUUUUCAUUAAUCAGUGAACGAAAGUUAGGGGAUCGAAGACGAUCAGAUACCGUCGUAGUCUUAACCAUAAACUAUGCCGACUAGGGAUCGGACGGGAUUCUAUAAUGACCCGUUCGGCACCUUACGAGAAAUCAAAGUUUUUGGG